GUGUCAGCCGCCGCGGUAAUACGGAGACUGCGAGCGUUACUCGGAUUUACUGGGCGUAAAGGGUCCGUAGGCGGCCAGGUGUGUCGGGUGUGAAAUCCUGCAGCUUAACUGCAGAACUGCGCUCGAAACUAUCUGGCUCGAGUAUUGGAGAGGUGAGUGGAAUUCCUGGUGUAGCGGUGAAAUGCGUAGAUAUCAGGAGGAACACCAACGGCGAAGGCAGCUCACUGGACAAUUACUGACGCUGAGGGACGAAAGUGUGGGGAGCAAAAGGGAUUAGAUACCCUCGUAGUCC
Molecule: ribosomal RNA, 292 nt
Filed under: uncultured bacterium
Lineage: Bacteria
Description: partial 16S ribosomal RNA
Rfam family: Bacterial small subunit ribosomal RNA
Source: RNAcentral